AGCAGGAGAAACUCAGGGUUAGUUGAAGAAAACCUGCCAGCGAGCAGGUUAGGUUCACGGAGUAUGUUGCCAGGGUAACUGACUCAGAGUAAAGCUGAUCUGGCUUUGUGAAACUGAAAGAGUUUCCCUCAUCUCGGGUUUAACUAAGUCCGAGUUUUCACUAAACCUGCUUUCUGAAACGGACCCCGGCUUUGUGGAAUACCCCUCUGGUUUAGGAGCAGAACCGUAAUCAUGUUCUGUCAUCACCACAGAACCUGCGAUCUCCUCCAUCGGCUCUUCUUCACACGGCAGCGGUUGCUCCAGAGGAAGGGCUUGGUGAACGUCAUUGCCUAAGCGAGUUGAUCUGCUCUUUUAUAAACGGACUCCCCUCUUGGCAGUCCCCACAGUUGUUCCACUGGAAACGGGAGGGAACAGACCCGAACGAGACAACACUAGCCUAGUUGUGAUGUGACGCAGUUGUUGUUCAAAGCUCUUCUGUCUGCACCGAGGAGCCAAGCAGCUCAAUCUUUACUCUCAGAACCUUUAGAACCGUGUUAAUGUUCUGACUCGUUUAUAAACACUUCUCUGUGAUUUUGCUGAACACCUAAAUCUCUUUAUUCCCUGCUUUCCUUGCUUUUGUGGUUCUAUAUUUCCACACUACACGGAAAGCACACGUUUCAUCACGGAGAAGAUAAGGUCUCCAGUCUACUAUGGAUGAGGAGAGAGCGGAGGGGGGUCCUGCCUCUAAAACCAUUCCGUCUGGGCAACAUGGCCGCCAGAGCAAAGCUAAGAGCCCAGAGCAGCAGGAGAGAGCAGACUCCCCUGGACCCAGCUGUGUCUCCAUGAAGAGUGACUGGUCUAUGGCUCACCCUCCUGACCUUAAAGAUGGACGCCCCUCCAGAGAGGAAGGGUAAGGAUUUGUCAAAGAUUAUGAAACUACGACAUCUCUCAGACAUCCUUUAAUCCUUGUUCUUGUUUUUCUAGAAGAGUCCAGCAGGAGAGAGCAGACUGCCCUGGACCCAGCUGUGUCUCCAUGAAGAGUGACCGGUCUAUGGAUCACCCACCUGACCUUAAAGAUGGACGCCCCUCCAGAGAGGAAGGGUAAAAAUUGUAAAGAUUAUAAAGAUACAGCAUCUAUGAAAAAUCCCCAAAAAUGUUUUUAUUAAAAAAGAUUGUGUGUGUGUGUGUGUGUGUGUGUGUGUGUGUGUGUGUG
Molecule: long non-coding RNA, 1192 nt
Organism: Gadus morhua (Atlantic cod)
Lineage: Eukaryota; Metazoa; Chordata; Actinopteri; Gadiformes; Gadidae
Exons: 3
Source: RefSeq, a predicted model, not a curated record